This 72-nucleotide transfer RNA is filed under the name Xylona heveae TC161. It matches the Rfam family "tRNA". From Rfam's summary of the family: Transfer RNA (tRNA) molecules are approximately 80 nucleotides in length. Their secondary structure includes four short double-helical elements and three loops (D, anti-codon, and T loops). Lineage: Eukaryota; Fungi; Ascomycota; Xylonomycetes; Xylonales; Xylonaceae. The record is from Rfam by way of RNAcentral.
GGGCAAUUGGUCUAGUGGUAUUAUUCUCCCUUAGCAUGGGAGAGGUCCUGGGUUCAAUUCCCAGAUUGUCCA